AAUGGGUCAGCGACUUAUAUUCUGUAGCAAGGUUAACCGAAUAGGGGAGCCGAAGGGAAACCGAGUCUUAACUGGGCGUUAAGUUGCAGGGUAUAGACCCGAAACCCGGUGAUCUAGCCAUGGGCAGGUUGAAGGUUGGGUAACACUAACUGGAGGACCGAACCGACUAAUGUUGAAAAAUUAGCGGAUGACUUGUGGCUGGGGGUGAAAGGCCAAUCAAACCGGGAGAUAGCUGGUUCUCCCCGAAAGCUAUUUAGGUAGCGCCUCGUGAAUUCAUCUCCGGGGGUAGA
RNAcentral lists this ribosomal RNA (290 nucleotides) under Escherichia coli. RNAcentral's name for it is "partial 23S ribosomal RNA". It matches the Rfam family "Bacterial large subunit ribosomal RNA", at positions 614 to 906 of the family's 2925-position model. Lineage: Bacteria; Pseudomonadati; Pseudomonadota; Gammaproteobacteria; Enterobacterales; Enterobacteriaceae. The record is from RNAcentral.